Molecule: ribosomal RNA, 1489 nt
Filed under: Lactiplantibacillus plantarum
Lineage: Bacteria; Bacillati; Bacillota; Bacilli; Lactobacillales; Lactobacillaceae
Description: bacterial SSU rRNA
Rfam family: Bacterial small subunit ribosomal RNA
Source: RNAcentral
GACGAACGCUGGCGGCGUGCCUAAUACAUGCAAGUCGAACGAACUCUGGUAUUGAUUGGUGCUUGCAUCAUGAUUUACAUUUGAGUGAGUGGCGAACUGGUGAGUAACACGUGGGAAACCUGCCCAGAAGCGGGGGAUAACACCUGGAAACAGAUGCUAAUACCGCAUAACAACUUGGACCGCAUGGUCCGAGUUUGAAAGAUGGCUUCGGCUAUCACUUUUGGAUGGUCCCGCGGCGUAUUAGCUAGAUGGUGGGGUAACGGCUCACCAUGGCAAUGAUACGUAGCCGACCUGAGAGGGUAAUCGGCCACAUUGGGACUGAGACACGGCCCAAACUCCUACGGGAGGCAGCAGUAGGGAAUCUUCCACAAUGGACGAAAGUCUGAUGGAGCAACGCCGCGUGAGUGAAGAAGGGUUUCGGCUCGUAAAACUCUGUUGUUAAAGAAGAACAUAUCUGAGAGUAACUGUUCAGGUAUUGACGGUAUUUAACCAGAAAGCCACGGCUAACUACGUGCCAGCAGCCGCGGUAAUACGUAGGUGGCAAGCGUUGUCCGGAUUUAUUGGGCGUAAAGCGAGCGCAGGCGGUUUUUUAAGUCUGAUGUGAAAGCCUUCGGCUCAACCGAAGAAGUGCAUCGGAAACUGGGAAACUUGAGCGCAGAAGAGGACAGUGGAACUCCAUGUGUAGCGGUGAAAUGCGUAGAUAUAUGGAAGAACACCAGUGGCGAAGGCGGCUGUCUGGUCUGUAACUGACGCUGAGGCUCGAAAGUAUGGGUAGCAAACAGGAUUAGAUACCCUGGUAGUCCAUACCGUAAACGAUGAAUGCUAAGUGUUGGAGGGUUUCCGCCCUUCAGUGCUGCAGCUAACGCAUUAAGCAUUCCGCCUGGGGAGUACGGCCGCAAGGCUGAAACUCAAAGGAAUUGACGGGGGCCCGCACAAGCGGUGGAGCAUGUGGUUUAAUUCGAAGCUACGCGAAGAACCUUACCAGGUCUUGACAUACUAUGCAAAUCUAAGAGAUUAGACGUUCCCUUCGGGGACAUGGAUACAGGUGGUGCAUGGUUGUCGUCAGCUCGUGUCGUGAGAUGUUGGGUUAAGUCCCGCAACGAGCGCAACCCUUAUUAUCAGUUGCCAGCAUUAAGUUGGGCACUCUGGUGAGACUGCCGGUGACAAACCGGAGGAAGGUGGGGAUGACGUCAAAUCAUCAUGCCCCUUAUGACCUGGGCUACACACGUGCUACAAUGGAUGGUACAACGAGUUGCGAACUCGCGAGAGUAAGCUAAUCUCUUAAAGCCAUUCUCAGUUCGGAUUGUAGGCUGCAACUCGCCUACAUGAAGUCGGAAUCGCUAGUAAUCGCGGAUCAGCAUGCCGCGGUGAAUACGUUCCCGGGCCUUGUACACACCGCCCGUCACACCAUGAGAGUUUGUAACACCCAAAGUCGGUGGGGUAACCUUUUAGGAACCAGCCGCCUAAGGUGGGACAGAUGAUUAGGGUG